RNAcentral lists this ribosomal RNA (778 nucleotides) under uncultured fungus. RNAcentral's name for it is "SSU rRNA". It matches the Rfam family "Eukaryotic small subunit ribosomal RNA", at positions 564 to 1347 of the family's 1831-position model. Lineage: Eukaryota; Fungi. The record is from RNAcentral.
GUGCCAGCAGCCGCGGUAAUUCCAGCUCCAAUAGCGUAUAUUAAAGUUGUUGUGGUUAAAAAGCUCGUAGUUGAACCUUGGGCCUGGCUGGCCGGUCCGCCUCACCGCGUGCACUGGUCCGGCCGGGCCUUUCCCUCUGUGGAACCCCAUACCCUUCACUGGGCGUGGCGGGGAAACAGGACAUUUACUUUGAAAAAAUUAGAGUGCUCCAGGCAGGCCUAUGCUCGAAUACAUUAGCAUGGAAUAAUAAAAUAGGACGCGCGGUUCUAUUUUGUUGGUUUAUAGGACCGCCGUAAUGAUUAAUAGGGACAGUCGGGGGCAUCAGUAUUCAACUGUCAGAGGUGGAAUUCUUGGAUCAGUUGAAGACUAACUACUGCGAAAGCAUUUGCCAAGGAUGUUUUCAUUAAUCAGGAACGAAAGUUAGGGGAUCGAAGACGAUCAGAUACCGUCGUAGUCUUAACCAUAAACUAUGCCGACUAGGGAUCGGACGGUGUUAUUCAUGACCCGUUCGGCACCUUACGAGAAAUCAAAGUGCUUGGGCUCCAGGGGGAGUAUGGUCGCAAGGCUGAAACUUAAAGAAAUUGACGGAAGGGCACCACCAGGGGUGGAGCCUGCGGCUUAAUUUGACUCAACACGGGGAAACUCACUCAGGUCCAGACACAAUAAGGAUUGACAGAUUGAGAGCUCUUUUCUUGAUUUUGUGGGUGGUGGUGCAUGGCCGUUCUUAGUUGGUGGGGUGACUUGUCUGCUUAAUUGCGAUAACGAACGAGACCUUUAA